Molecule: ribosomal RNA, 497 nt
Filed under: uncultured bacterium
Lineage: Bacteria
Description: partial 16S ribosomal RNA
Rfam family: Bacterial small subunit ribosomal RNA
Source: RNAcentral
GAUGAACGCUGGCGGCGUGCCUAAUACAUGCAAGUCGAGCGAACAGACGAGGAGCUUGCUCCUCUGACGUUAGCGGCGGACGGGUGAGUAACACGUGGAUAACCUACCUAUAAGACUGGGAUAACUUCGGGAAACCGGAGCUAAUAACGGAUAAUAUAUUGAACCGCAUGGUGCAAUAGUGAAAGACGGUUUUGCUGUCACUUAUAGAUGGAUCCGCGCCGCAUUAGCUAGUUGGUAAGGUAACGGCUUACCAAGGCAACGAUGCGUAGCCGACCUGAGAGGGUGAUCGGCCACACUGGAACUGAGACACGGUCCAGACUCCUACGGGAGGCAGCAGUAGGGAAUCUUCCGCAAUGGGCGAAAGCCUGACGGAGCAACGCCGCGUGAGUGAUGAAGGUCUUCGGAUCGUAAAACUCUUUUAUUAGGGAAGAACAAAUGUGUAAUUAACUAUGCACGUCUUGACGGUACCUAAUCAGAAAGCCCCGGCUAACUACGUG